This 438-nucleotide long non-coding RNA is filed under the name Meleagris gallopavo (turkey). Its description in RNAcentral is "lncRNA (ENSMGAG00000020513.1)". The record is from RNAcentral. Lineage: Eukaryota; Metazoa; Chordata; Aves; Galliformes; Phasianidae.
AUGUGUUCUGCGUGGAAAACUCUGUACAGCUUUUUUUCAGGCAGUGCUGCAAGGAGCCUCUGGGAGUUCCGGCGGGAAGAGACCAGCCUCCAUUUGGAGACCUUUGCUACAGGUGAAGACCUUCAAACAAGUCAAGCAGAUAUAUCAGGAGCUCAUCAGUUUUACAUCAAGAUCGCACAAAGGAAGCAAGGAGACUCCCACAUCUUUCAGUGAGAAGAAAGGAAGCAGUGGAGCAGACUAAUACGGACUUGUGUCUGGUGGCCUUGCAGUACAAAGGCUGCCUUUAAAAGAGAAGCACAGCGUUAUUUAAUGAGCUGUGAGAUGAGGCGCUGCUGCUAACACUCAGAUCCCUGGAUUCAUCGGCUAUUCAUUGUGCUUAAUGUACAUGUUUCUACACCGUGCGUUUAGGAGAUCCCAGAGAAGAAUCCAAAACGGCUG